RNAcentral lists this ribosomal RNA (408 nucleotides) under bacterium enrichment culture clone ALO1_GLFRUDD03GZ8YL. RNAcentral describes it as "bacterial SSU rRNA". It matches the Rfam family "Bacterial small subunit ribosomal RNA", at positions 9 to 419 of the family's 1533-position model. The record is from RNAcentral. RNAcentral also lists the same sequence under 1 other name.
GAGUUUGAUCCUGGCUCAGAUUGAACGCUGGCGGCAUGCCUUACACAUGCAAGUCGAACGGCAGCACGGGAGCUUGCUCCUGGUGGCGAGUGGCGAACGGGUGAGUAAUGCAUCGGAACGUAUCCUGGAGUGGGGGAUAACGUAGCGAAAGUUACGCUAAUACCGCAUAUUCUGUGAGCAGGAAAGCGGGGGACCUUCGGGCCUCGCGCUCUUGGAGCGGCCGAUGUCGGAUUAGCUAGUUGGUGAGGUAAAGGCUCACCAAGGCGACGAUCCGUAGCAGGUCUGAGAGGAUGAUCUGCCACACUGGAACUGAGACACGGUCCAGACUCCUACGGGAGGCAGCAGUGGGAAUUUGGACAAUGGGGGCAACCCUGAUCCAGCCAUGCCGCGUGAGUGAAGAAGGCCUGG